RNAcentral lists this ribosomal RNA (587 nucleotides) under uncultured bacterium. RNAcentral's name for it is "bacterial SSU rRNA". It matches the Rfam family "Bacterial small subunit ribosomal RNA", at positions 338 to 916 of the family's 1533-position model. The record is from RNAcentral.
CCUACGGGAGGCAGCAGUAGGGAAUCUUCCGCAAUGGACGAAAGUCUGACGGAGCAACGCCGCGUGAGCGAUGAAGGCCUUCGGGUCGUAAAGCUCUGUUGUCAGGGAAGAACAAGUACCGGAGUAACUGCCGGUACCUUGACGGUACCUGACCAGAAAGCCACGGCUAACUACGUGCCAGCAGCCGCGGUAAUACGUAGGUGGCAAGCGUUAUCCGGAAUUAUUGGGCGUAAAGCGCGCGCAGGCGGUUUCUUAAGUCUGAUGUGAAAGCCCACGGCUCAACCGUGGAGGGUCAUUGGAAACUGGGGAACUUGAGUGCAGAAGAGAAAAGCGGAAUUCCACGUGUAGCGGUGAAAUGCGUAGAGAUGUGGAGGAACACCAGUGGCGAAGGCGGCUUUUUGGUCUGUAACUGACGCUGAGGCGCGAAAGCGUGGGGAGCAAACAGGAUUAGAUACCCUGGUAGUCCACGCCGUAAACGAUGAGUGCUAAGUGUUAGAGGGUUUCCGCCCUUUAGUGCUGCAGCUAACGCAUUAAGCACUCCGCCUGGGGAGUACGGUCGCAAGACUGAAACUCAAAGGAAUUGACGG